AACCCACGGUGAGGGACCCUUCUUAAUAAAUCCUUAUACCUCUCCCAUGCAUCAUAUAGGGUCCCUAAAUCCAUUUGCAAGAAGGAAGAGAUAUCAUUCCUUAACUU
Non-coding RNA from Gossypium hirsutum (cotton), 107 nucleotides. Lineage: Eukaryota; Viridiplantae; Streptophyta; Magnoliopsida; Malvales; Malvaceae. The record is from Rfam.